This 454-nucleotide ribosomal RNA is filed under the name uncultured organism. RNAcentral describes it as "partial 16S ribosomal RNA". It matches the Rfam family "Bacterial small subunit ribosomal RNA", at positions 331 to 801 of the family's 1533-position model. The record is from RNAcentral.
GUACACUCCUGCGGGAGGCAGCAGUGGGGAAUAUUGGACAAUGGGCGAAAGCCUGAUCCAGCAAUGCCGCGUGAGUGAUGAAGGCCUUAGGGUUGUAAAGCUCUUUUACCCGGGAUGAUAAUGACAGUACCGGGAGAAUAAGCCUCGGCUAACUCCGUGCCAGCAGCCGCGGUAAUACGGAGGGGGCUAGCGUUGUUCGGAAUUACUGGGCGUAAAGCGCGCGUAGGCGGCUUUGUAAGUUAGAGGUGAAAGCCCGGAGCUCAACUUCGGAAUUGCCUUUAAGACUGCAUCGCUAGAAUCGUGGAGAGGUGAGUGGAAUUCCGAGUGUAGAGGUGAAAUUCGUAGAUAUUCGGAAGAACACCAGUGGCGAAGGCGACUCACUGGACACGUAUUGACGCUGAGGUGCGAAAGCGUGGGGAGCAAACAGGAUUAGAUACCCCGGUAGUCCCAUGAU